Molecule: long non-coding RNA, 436 nt
Organism: Vitis vinifera (wine grape)
Lineage: Eukaryota; Viridiplantae; Streptophyta; Magnoliopsida; Vitales; Vitaceae
Exons: 2
Source: RefSeq, a predicted model, not a curated record
GUGUUUGGCAGCACUGAGUUCCAGUAGACUUCAGAAGGUAGAGCUGCAUGGCUUGCUUGCACUGCUAUCUGCAUCAAAAUAUAAGACAAAUUCUUGUCAGAUUCUCAUAUGGAGAAGAAAGCAAUGCUACCGAGAGGGCCCAAGAAUCUGAACGCUUAAUUUUCAUGAAGAGGCGUACAAGGGUUGUAAUGCAACACAUCACCUGUAUCGAUGACUAGUUUAAUUUCUUCAACUACCCUUGCUUACAUGAAUUAAAUGCUGUUAGAUAAAUGGCACUGAUGGGAUGGAGACUGAGAGGGGGGGUGAGAGAUUGAGUACUUAGAGUGCCGUGUUGAAGCAAAAUAAUUUAGUGAUGAUUUCAUGACAUGUGAGGGAUGUAUUACAUUGUUUCCAUCCGAGAUGGUGUAAUUCAGGAUUAUUUCCUACUGCUCCAAGA